Molecule: ribosomal RNA, 435 nt
Filed under: uncultured bacterium
Lineage: Bacteria
Description: partial 16S ribosomal RNA
Rfam family: Bacterial small subunit ribosomal RNA
Source: RNAcentral
GAUGAACGCUGGCGGUAUGCUUAACACAUGCAAGUCGAACGGACUCUUCGGAGUUAGUGGCGGACGGGUGAGUAACGCGUGAGAAUCUGGCUUUGGGUUCGGGACAACCACUGGAAACGGUGGCUAAAACCGGAUGUGCCGAGAGGUAAAAGAGAAAUUGCCUGAAGAUGAGCUCGCGUCUGAUUAGCUAGUUGGUGAGGUAAAGGCUCACCAAGGCAGCGAUCAGUAGCUGGUCUGAGAGGAUGACCAGCCACACUGGGACUGAGACACGGCCCAGACUCCUACGGGAGGCAGCAGUGGGGAAUUUUCCGCAAUGGGCGAAAGCCUGACGGAGCAAUACCGCGUGAGGGAAGAAGGCUCUUGGGUUGUAAACCUCUUUUCUUAGGGAAGAACAAAAUGACGGUACCUAAGGAAUCAGCAUCGGCUAACUCCGUG